This 441-nucleotide ribosomal RNA is filed under the name uncultured bacterium. Its description in RNAcentral is "bacterial SSU rRNA". It matches the Rfam family "Bacterial small subunit ribosomal RNA", at positions 339 to 796 of the family's 1533-position model. The record is from RNAcentral.
CUACGGGAGGCAGCAGUGAGGAAUAUUGGUCAAUGGGCGAAAGCCUGAACCAGCGACGCCGCGUGGGUGAAGAAGGUCUUCGGAUCGUAAAGCCCUUUUCUGUGUGACGAGUAAGGACGGUAGCACAGGAAUAAGUCUCGGCUAACUACGUGCCAGCAGCCGCGGUAAAACGUAGGAGACAAGCGUUAUCCGGAGUUACUGGGCGUAAAGGGCGUGCAGGCGGUUGACUAAGUUCGUCGUGAAAUCGCCCGGCUUAACCGGGCGGGGUCGAUGAAUACUGGUGAACUAGAGGACGGUAGAGGCGUGUGGAAUUCCGGGUGUAGUGGUGAAAUGCGUAGAUAUCCGGAGGAACACCAGUGGCGAAAGCGACACGCUGGGCCGUACCUGACGCUAAGACGCGACAGCAUGGGGAGCGAACGGGAUUAGAAACCCUUGUAGUCC